UUUGACUAGAAAAGUGCAAAAGUUUUUUUUUAUAAUAAAAAGAAGUCCUGGGAUAUAUGGAGAACGGAAACAGAUCCUCGUUCUCCCUCGACAACCGCUGCUGCUAGCGGGAGCGGAAGAUCUCGAUCGACGGGACUGGAACCGGAUUCAGAAGCAGCGAGCGGGAGCGGGAGAUCUCGAUCGACCCAUCGUCCAUCCAUCCAUCCAUCAUGGACAAGGUGAACACCUCGCACGCAUGCAUUUCCCUCUCUGAUCCCCGUCCAGUCUAUCUUCCUGCAAACCCGCCGCCCCGAUUCACCGCGUGCAGAGCUCAAUGGGGUUCAUGGCCAUGGGUUGCCCGCUAGCUUUAGGAGGAGGGUGGCCUGACGGAGAUGCGGAAGAGGAGGCGUUUGCUGGUGGCGAGGGGCAGCGCUGGCCAGAGGUUUAGGGUUUUCCGGAAAAUUGAGUGAGGCCCCGAUUCAAAGCGGUUUUUGCAAAUAAUGGUAUCGCGAGAAUGCUGAUUUCUAUGGCCUGACUGUCACCCAAGAUAACCCUGAUUUGCCAAUUGGACAUUUUGACGUCUCCUGUGUCGAUCAACCUUUGAGAAUGGACCUUGAGAUCUCUGAACGUUUGAUCAUACCUUUUUUUUCCCCUUGCUUCACUGCCUUAGCCAUCUUUUCCAUUACUGAUCAAUAACUUUGUAUUUCACCGUGAGCAAUCUGCAGAAGGCUGGUGCAGAAAGAGCCUCCGUGGAGAAGAACUGCUCCGGGAAGAAGGCUAAGGUUACGGCCGAGCAGAGGCGGAGGACAAAAAGAAAUUAAGGUGUGGCGGACUCAUAAACAUAAUAACACGCAAUUUUUUUGAAUCCUUUUGAUCUUGAUAAGUGACAUGUACCGUAACCUACGAAACAUCUAUAGAGACACGAACACGAUGAUACAUAUAUGAAAAUUUCUAGAUACAACCAUACGAAACAUCUACAUGCGUCGCUCGGCAUUGUCAUAGGCCCAAUUAGGGUGGUUGUGUGUCCCUUUUGUUUUUUCAGCAAUUCUUUUCCAUCAAGCAAGAGCCAGCAAGCUAGCAA
This 1060-nucleotide long non-coding RNA is filed under the name Hordeum vulgare. Its description in RNAcentral is "long non-coding RNA (HVUL_LNC006243)". The record is from RNAcentral. Lineage: Eukaryota; Viridiplantae; Streptophyta; Magnoliopsida; Poales; Poaceae.